Molecule: ribosomal RNA, 253 nt
Filed under: uncultured bacterium
Lineage: Bacteria
Description: partial 16S ribosomal RNA
Rfam family: Bacterial small subunit ribosomal RNA
Source: RNAcentral
UACAGAGGUCUCAAGCGUUGUUCGGAUUCAUUGGGCGUAAAGGGUGCGUAGGCGGCGCGGUAAGUCGGGUGUGAAAUCUUGGAGCUUAACUCCGAAACUGCAUUCGAUACUGCCGUGCUUGAGGACUGGAGAGGAGACUGGAAUUUACGGUGUAGCGGUGAAAUGCGUAGAUAUCGUAAGGAAGACCAGUGGCGAAGGCGGGACUCUGGACAGUUCCUGACGCUGAGGCACGAAGGCCAGGGGAGCAAACGGG